CCUACGGGAGGCAGCAGUGGGGAAUCUUGCGCAAUGGGCGAAAGCCUGACGCAGCAACGCCGCGUGCGGGAAGAAGGCUUUCGGGCUGUAAACCGCUUUCAGCAGGAACGAAAAUGACGGUACCUGCAGAAGAAGGAGCGGCCAACUAUGUGCCAGCAGCCGCGGUGAUACAUAGGCUUCAAGCGUUGUCCGGAUUUAUUGGGCGUAAAGAGUUCGUAGGCGGUCGAGUAAGUCGGGUGUGAAAAUUCUGGGCUCAACCCAGAGACGCCACCCGAUACUGCUUAACUUGAGUUCGAUAGGGGAGUGGGGAAUUCCUAGUGUAGCGGUGAAAUGCGCAGAUAUUAGGAGGAACACCGGUGGCGAAGGCGCCACUCUGGAUCGAUACUGACGCUGAGGAACGAAAGCAUGGGUAGCAAACAGGAUUAGAUACCCUGGUAGUCCAUGCCGUAAGCGGUGGGCACUAGGUGUGGGAUUCUAUUAACGAAUUCCGCGCCGUCGCUAACGCAUUAAGUGCCCCGCCUGGGGAGGUACGGUCGCAGACUAAACUACAAGGAAGUUAGACGGCGNGAGAGUGCCGACGGACGACCGACGAGGGGAGGUAGG
RNAcentral lists this ribosomal RNA (603 nucleotides) under uncultured bacterium. Its description in RNAcentral is "bacterial SSU rRNA". It matches the Rfam family "Bacterial small subunit ribosomal RNA", at positions 338 to 1415 of the family's 1533-position model. The record is from RNAcentral.